CCCGCACAAGCGGUGGAGCAUGUGGUUUAAUUCGAAGCAACGCGAAGAACCUUACCAGGUCUUGACAUCCUCUGACAAUCCUAGAGAUAGGACUUUCCCCUUCGGGGGACAGAGUGACAGGUGGUGCAUGGUUGUCGUCAGCUCGUGUCGUGAGAUGUUGGGUUAAGUCCCGCAACGAGCGCAACCCUUAUUCUUAGUUGCCAGCAUUAAGUUGGGCACUCUAAGGAGACUGCCGGUGACAAACCGGAGGAAGUGGGGAUGACGUCAAAUCAUCAUGCCCCUUAUGACCUGGGCUACACACGUGCUACAAUGGAUGGUACAAAGGGCUGCAAAC
RNAcentral lists this ribosomal RNA (334 nucleotides) under uncultured soil bacterium. RNAcentral describes it as "bacterial SSU rRNA". It matches the Rfam family "Bacterial small subunit ribosomal RNA", at positions 920 to 1254 of the family's 1533-position model. The record is from RNAcentral.